UGACCUCACGGGUCCCUUGCCUUGACAGUACAAUAUAUUCUUGCCUUCCCAAAACACCCACGCACCCUUAACUAACUAUGGAAUAAAAUUACUAAUACCAACAAAACAAUAAUUGAAAACAGAACAAUAUUCGUUAUUUUCAUAUCUCAAGCAUUCUCGAACAUUCUUCAAAUGACAAAGUCUUUAAGCCAUCUUGGUUUCUUUCUCGCACGAGCUGGACCUGUCCUAGGCUGCUCUCUAGCUUGAGUCUUUGUUAUGCAAGACAGAGCAAUAUAUCGUAACUUGCUCAAGAAAAGAAUCAACCAAGACUUAAACAUAAGAAGAAAGAAAACAAGAACAUCAAGAACAGUUGAACACCAAAGAAAUAACGUGGUUCAGUUCUACAGAGGAACCUACAUCCACGGUUGUAAGAAUGCCAGCUAGGGCAGAAGCUUUAUUGACUAUAAUGGCUUAUUACAAAAGAACACUUCCACUGCAGAUUAAAACCUCUCUCUUUUCCGAUUAGCGUUUCCUUUUUGUAAUGCUCAAGUGUUUUCCUCUUUCUGAAACUAGUUUAGAGACAGCUUAUAUAUGUAUCCUUCUCACAUGUGUAUCCACUUUCACGAAUCAGUCUGUUAUUACUAACUGCUCUCUCGUUUGGAUCCCACUUAUGCCAGCUUACCAGCCACCUCAGCAAACACAUAACAGAAUAUAACUAACUAAGGCUUUACAAAUCUCCACCUUAGCUUUAUUCUGUUUAUGCUUCCCCCUACACUGAAUCAACAACUGUAAACUUGAAUUACAAGUUAACACUUCCAAUCAAGUUCAGUAAGUUCCUGAACCUGACUGAUGGCAGUGGCUUGGUUAACAUGUCAGCUGGGUUGACCUCAGAAGGAACCUUGACCACACUCACCACUCCUUUGCCAAUUUCAUCCCUUAUGAAGUGCGUUCUAAUAUCAAUAUGUUUAGUUCUCUCAUGAUACUUAGGGUUUUUACUUAACUGAAUAUCACUUGAGCUAUCACAACUAACUUUAACAACUUCUUGUUUAAACCCCAAUUCAGAGACCAACCCUCUCAACCAUAUUGCCUCUUUAACAGCUUCUGUGAGUGCAAUAUACUCAGCUUCUGUCGUUGAGAGAGCAACCGCUGAUUGUAGAGAGGACUUCCAACUUAUAGCACCUCCACACAUAGUAAACACAAACCCUGUUAUAGACCUUCUUCUAUCAUUAUCUGUUGCAGAGUCAGAAUCCACAAACCCAACAACUUCAGGUGAUGCUCCACUUAUUUUUCCAAACACAAUGGCAGUGACAACAGUCCCUCGAAGGUACCUCAGUACCCAUUUCACUGCAUUCCAAUGAUCUUUACCAGGGUUCCCCAUAAAUCUACUGAUGACACCAACUCUAUGUGCCAAGUCAGGUCUGGUGCACACCAUGGUAUACAUGAUGCUGCCAAUUGCACUAGAGUAUGGUAUUUUCCUCAUAUAGUUAAGAUCAUCAUCAGUUGUAGGUUCCAGAGAUUUAGAUAACUAGAAGUGAGCUGACAGGGGUGUUGUAACAGGUUUUGAAUCUUCCAUAUUGAACCUGGUUAACACUUUUUUCACACAAUCAGCUUGAGACAGAUACAAAGUCUUAGAGUUUCUAUCCCUUAUUAUCUGUAUGCCCAGAAUUUUUGUAGUUGCACCCAAAUCCUUCAUUUCAAAUUCAGUGCUUAGUUCACCCUUGAGCUUCUUUAUUUCUUCUUUUUGCUUACAUGCAAUAAGCAUGUUGUUGAGUGUUAGAAAAUGUAUAUUUAUAAAGGAGAAAAUCGUCAUUUUACAUUUCACGUCUUACUAACAACCCUUACUUUUAUGUAUUUAAGCUUCUUGUAAUUUAAUUAUGUGUGUUUCAUUUUAAUUAAGUAUUUUAUGUAUUUUAGGGGCAUCAUGGUCAUUUCACAAUAAACGAGAGAUCGGACGGUAAAACGGACAUCACUUUUGAACUCAGGACGGUUAAAAACCUUAGGAGGAGCAUAAAAGGAAAAAUGGCACUGUUCACAUGUACGGUACUAUUCACGUGUACGGUACUGUCUACGUUACUGGUCACGACACUGUUCACAUAGACGGAUCGAUGACGUGGCAUUGACCGACGAUGUGGCAUUAACUGAUGAGGUGUCACAAUCCUGUUGGACUAAAAUUCUUAUGUACUGUUGAUGGUGACGUGGCAGCAUAUCAGUGGACCAAAAAUCUUGCGUACGGUACAUGCAUUACACAGGAUUAUUUUCAACCAAACUGCGUCACUGUUCAACCCGGGUCAAACCGUGUUACUGUUCACCCACGUGGUCAAACCGCGUACUGUUGACUGAUGACGUGGCUCAAUCAUGAGCGUCCAAACUGUUUUUAAUCCGAUGACCAUGAUUUACUUAAUGUAUCUAUAAAAAAAGGGCAUCCCCCCCUAAUUUGAUAGCUCUGAAUCCAUUUUCUGUAAUUCAUUCUCUAUCUUGUAUUUUCUACGUAUUUUAAUAAAUUCUCAUUUUGCCCAUAGUUCAAUUACGAGUAGCUAAUUUUCUUUCAAGCUUGGGUUGAAGGUGAAGUCUCAACAUGUGUCAUGGGCUUUAUUUGGUAAAUUUAUUUUCUUUUCCCCUCUAAUUUUUGUGGAUGAUUUGACUUUUCGUCGACAAAUAAUAAUAAUCUUGUCUAGAUACCGCCCUGGUUACACCGGCUCCCUAGUACAAGGUUAUUAUUAUUUGGCAUGAUAAGCCCUUAGCACCAUAUUGAUUAGAGUGUGGUUCAUGAGGUGUGGAUUCUCCCCUCAUGAUUUAAUUGGCAUUAAUAAGGAAAAUUUAGCCCAUGGUGCAUGUUGAUACGGAUCCAGAUACCCAAGUAUGUCAUUUCAAUAGAUUUCUAUUCAAUUUAUUCUCGCCAUUUCAAUUCCAAUUUUAGGAUAAUCUACGUCACUUUCACUAAAAAUCCAAUCACCCAUUUACAAAAUUAAUUCUACACACAAUUAAAAUCCACCUCCUCGUGGGAUCGACACUCGUCACCAUUAAUCCAUUAAUCUAUUCUACAAUAGAUUCGUGCGCUUGCGAGUUCAAUAAAAUUUACACAGCACAUGUUAUCAACAUAGAGAAGUAAGUAGAUGCCAACCCCACUUGAUAGGAAUUUGUAAUACACACAAUUAUUAAAUUUGCUUCUGCAGUAUCCAUGGCUUAUCAUGAACUCAUCAAACUUCAAAUACCAUUGCAUUGGAGAUUGUUUGAGCCCAUACAAACUCUUUUUCAAUAAGUACACCUUGUCCUCAGAUCCUCUCUCAAUGAACCAUUCUGGCUGUGCCAUGAAAAUUUCUCCAUCAAGACUGCCAUGUAAGAAAGCAAUUUUAACAUCCAUCUGCUCUAGCUCCAGGUCAAAAUACGCAGAGAGGGCCAACAACAACCUAAUGGAGUUGUAUUUGACUACAGGUGAGAACACUUCAUUGAAGUCAACUUAUUCUCUUUGUGUGAAUCCCUUUGCCACAAGUCUGGCCUUAUGCCUUGGUGGUUCCUUCUUUGAAGCUCCAGCCUUCAGUUUAAAGAUCCACUUGCUGCCAACUAAUUUUUUGUUAGGAGGCUUUUCAACUAAGAUCCAGGUGUUAUUCUUCUUUAGUGAGGUUAUUUCAUCCUGCAUUGCAGCAUACCAUUUCAGCUUAUCACCACAACACAUAACUUCUUUAUAACUCAAAGGCUCUCCACCAUUUACUUCAUCAGCUACUGUUAGUGUAUAGGAAAUAAGGUCAGCUAUGCCAUAUCUCCUUGGCAUUUUGAUAGCUCUUCUCUCCCUAUCUCUGGCAAGUUGGUAUGUCUUUAAUUAUGAUGAUUUCCUCCCUUCUUUGAAUAGUUCUGGAGGCUCAUCAGAAGUCUUGCAACUAUCAGAGUGCUCCACCUUCUGUCCAACACUUUCAGCUUCCUCUAAUUCUGAGGCUUCAAUAUCAGUUUCUACCUUUGACUGAAGCAUUUAUUCUUCAUCAAAGGUUACAUCUCUACUGACAAGUAUUCUAGAUGGUUUGCGAUUGAGAGUCCAUAUUUUGUAUCCCUUAAUGCCCUCUGGAUAACCCAAAAAAUACCCUUUGACAGCCCUUGGUUCAAGCUUACUUUGCUUUAUGUGAGCAUAAGCUGGGCACCCAAAAAUCCUCAGAUUACUCAAGUCUGGUGGCUUUCCUGACCAAAUUUCUUGUGGUGUCUUGAAGCCUAAGGCUGUGGAUGGACUUCUGUUUAUCAAGUAGGUAGCUGUAGUGACUGCAUCAGCCCAAAAACCUUUAGAUAAACUUACAUUCAGUAGCAUACAUCUUACCCUCUCUAUUAAGGUUCUGUUCAUCCUUUCUGCUAGCCCAUUUUGCUGUGGGGUAUAGGUUACAGUUCUAUGCCUUGCUAUGCCCUUUGAUUUGCAGAAAUCUUCAAACUUUUUACUGCAAUACUCCAACCCAUUAUCUGUCUGUAGCCUUUUUAUUUUCUUAUAAGUUUGAUGCUUAAUCAGAGUAAUCCACUCUUUAAACUUCUUUAGUGCUUCAUUUUUGUGUUUUAACACAAAAAUCCAAACCUUCCUAGAGAAGUUAUCUAUAAAGGACACAAAGUACCUAGCUCCACCUAAAGAUGGAACUUGUGUGGCCGCCAAAGAUCUGAGUGAAUGUAAUAUAAGGUUUGCUUGGUUUCUUUCCUCUCCAUACUGAAUUUCAGUCUUGUAGCUUUGCCAAAUACACAUUUCUCACAAAAUUUUAAGGAAGAAAUUUUUUCAUUACCAAAUAAGCCCUGAUUGCUUAACUCUCUGAGACCUCUCUCACUGAUAUGGGCUAGUCUCAUGUGCCAGAGCUUAGUUUUGUCUCUGGUCACACUUACAGAAACCCCAUGCUCAGGUGAGGAUCCAACAAGUAUAUAUAGCCCAUUUUUCCUAACCCCCUUUAUAACAGUUUCACCCUUAUCUGUGACAUGCAUUUCUCCAUUUUCAGCCUUAAUAGUACACCCUAAUUGAUCAACCACUCCUAGGGAUAUUAGAUUUCUUUUUAGUUCAGGGACAUAUCUCACAUGGUGCAAAUCUCUAGUGAUACCAUCAUGCAUUUUUAAGCUAAUGGUUCCUAUUUCAGCCACCUUGAAAGCCAAAUUAUUUCCUAACAGUACAUUCCCUCCAUUUACACUUUCAAAGGUCUUAAAGAAACUCUUAUUUGGACACAUAUGGAAAGAACAACCUGAAUCUAAUAUUUACUCACCAGUUGGAUGCCUCUCUGCAGCCACCAGAACAUCUGCUUCAUCAUAGUCACCUUCAUCCUCAAAGGCUACAUCAGCCUUCCCAUUUGACUUCUUUUGUAAUUCUUCUAGUUUCUUUUUCUCAAAAUAAUCCUUGAUGUAGUGCCCCUCUUUUUGGCAGAAGUAACACUUCCUCUUCUUCUUCUUUUUCUCAGCUUUAUCUUUAUGGCUAUUGUUUUUCUUCUGCUUAUUAUUUUUCUUUUUUGGCUUUCCUUUGGCAACUAAACCUUCUGCAUUGCUUUAAUCUCUUACUUCUGCCCUUUUCUUCAAAUCCUUAGAUUCCAGAGCAUUUUUGACAUCUUUCAACGUGAGAGUUUGUCUUCCAUAGAGGAGAGUAUCUACAAAGUGUUCAUAAGACUCUGGAAGUGAACUAAGUAAAAUGAGUGCCAUGUCUUCAUCUUCAAGAAUUAUGUUAACAUUCUCAAGAUCAAGAAUGAGUUUAUUAAACUCAUCCACAUGAUCUUUCAUGGUUACACCAUCUUUCAUCGAGAAUGUGUAUAAUCUCCUCUUCAUGUACAACCUCUUUGUUAAUGAUUUCUUCAGAAACAUUUCUUUAAGCUUGGCCCACAACCCAGAUGCAGUUCUUUCUUUGGAUACAUCUCUCAAGACUUCAUCGGAGAGAUAUAAGAUAAUCGUGCUAUGGGCCUUGUUGUUUAUGGUCAUCUGGUCUCCACCAAAACUUGAAGAACCUUCUCCCUUCUCUUUUUUGGCCAUAGGAUCUUCUUCAUCAUCGAGGGCACUGUUAAGCCCUUGCUGAAUUAGAAUUGCUGUCAUAUUUAAACUCCAGAGAUAAAAGUCAUUAUCUCCAUUAAACGUUUCAAGAUCAACUCUGGUGCUUGCCAUUUUCGAAUUCGAUCCCAAUCAACACCUUGCUCUGAUACCAGUUUGUUAUAGAAGACAGAGCAAUAUAUCGUAACUUGCUCAAGAAAAGAAUCAACUAAGACUUAAACACAAGAAGAAGAAAAAACAGGAACAUCAAGAACAGUUGAACACCAAAAAAAUAACGUGGUUCAGUUCCACAAAGGAACCUACAUCCACGGCUAUAGGAAUGCCAGCUAGGGCAGAAGCUUUUAUUGACUAUAAUGGCUUAUUACAAAAGAACACUUCCACUGCAGAUUAAAACCUCUCUAUUUUCCAAUUAGCGUUUCUUCUCUGUAAUGCUUAAGUGUUUUCCUCUAUUUCUGAAACUAGUUUAGAGACAACUUAUAUAUGUAUGCUUCUCACGUGUGUAUCCACUUUAACGAAUCAGUCUGUUAUUACUAACUGCUCUCUCGUUUGGAUCCCACUUAUGCCAGCUCACCAGCCACCUUAGUAAGCCCAUAAUAGAAUAUAAUUAACUAUGGCUUCACAGUCUUAUUCAAGGGUUGAGCUUCUUCCAUUUCUGUAGGUUGGAUCUCUUCCUUUGCUGUCUCAUUAAGCUCGAUCUUAUUCACAACAAUGGGCCAAGUUGUAUCAGAG
This 6684-nucleotide long non-coding RNA is filed under the name Citrus x clementina. RNAcentral describes it as "Citrus clementina (C. clementina) long non-coding RNA (CCLE_LNC006500)". The record is from RNAcentral. Lineage: Eukaryota; Viridiplantae; Streptophyta; Magnoliopsida; Sapindales; Rutaceae.